This 110-nucleotide small nuclear RNA is filed under the name Soboliphyme baturini. The record is from RNAcentral. Lineage: Eukaryota; Metazoa; Nematoda; Enoplea; Dioctophymatida; Soboliphymatidae.
GUUCGAUGGCAUCCCAUGGACAUGUGUUAAAAUUGGAAAAAUGCAGACAAACAUUAGCAUGCCUCCAGUCCAAGGAUGGCGUGAAAAUUCGUGAAGCGUUCCAAACUUUU